This 506-nucleotide unclassified non-coding RNA is filed under the name Hevea brasiliensis (rubber tree). The record is from RNAcentral. Lineage: Eukaryota; Viridiplantae; Streptophyta; Magnoliopsida; Malpighiales; Euphorbiaceae.
AAAAUUUAGAGGAACGUAUGGAAAAUAGUGCAAUAGAACCUACAAAAUCAGAGGCAAAUGUGCUAUACUAGAUUGUGACCACUGCAACAAGAGUGGGAUUUCUUAUAAUUGUAAUGACCCUUCAGUUCUUGACAAGAAUGAAACUGUGGCAGCAACUCUGCUAUAGAAAUCCUUUUCUUAGAUAAGAAUCUUCCGAUAAGGUGGUCAGCUUGCGGGCAACUUUUGAGUCCUUCUCCAACUGCAACCAAGAAAAUUUGGGGAAAAUCUAUUUACAUUGAUUUUGUUCAAGCUUUGACAACAAAGCUACACUAGCUAUGAGACGUUUAAUUCUGUCAGCUCCUGGACCCGGUUUAAUAUUAUUCGGGUCACCAACCUUGGAACAUUUGGGACUACCAGAGCACCACCCACCGGGAGUGAAGCCUCCAUCCUUCCGGCCAAGUAAAUCCUUAUCAAUUUUAUCCAAGACAGGGUCGUAUCGUUUGAAUUUUCUAGCAAAGGCAGCACCA